GUGAGUGUGAGAGCAAGAACAGCCCGCAGGUCCCGAGGCGCUUGCUGGGGACUCUGCCGCGGAAAGUUCCCAGUCCCCAGCCGCAGCUACCCUGGAAAGCAGGAAGAGAACCGGAAGUAAGGCAAACUAAAGCAAGCCAAAUCCCUCAAAAUAUGGGAAAUGUAUCAAGCAAAAUCUAUGAGUGUUUCUGAUGAGAGACACUGAGUGAAGAAAAGUGCUGUCUUGGGGAUCAAUGCUGGAUGGCCCUUCUCACUGCAGCUACAGACCUUGGAGACAGAGGAAGAUGCAGCAAGGGGUACUGAUGCCUCAUAAGUUUUGUUAUGUUCAGAUGCCUUCGUGAAACUGGUUUUACCUGAGAAAGAGGAGCUGUCAUUCAGCGAGUCGUAGGUGGCAGUGUGCAUGGCAGAGUCCCAUGUGUUACACCACGAGGACAUUCACAUUUUCCCACUUGGUGAGGUCCUUCUACCUAAUCCUCAUUCCUUGUGCACAGAAGAGGACUGGAAAAUUCUCCUCAUAGAACUGCAUACUGUUAUCUCUGAGAAGUGUUUUCCAAAAAGUGCUUUAUAAAAACAGCCAGGCAGUUCAGCAUUGUGGAUAAGCUUUUAUAACUUACUUACACCCUGAAGAUUUCAGAGUUCACAGUAAGUAAAUCACUGCGUGCACCUUUUCCAGUUUCUUCUUGUGAAAUACAUUUUUUC
This 698-nucleotide long non-coding RNA is filed under the name Rattus norvegicus (Norway rat). Its description in RNAcentral is "long non-coding RNA NONRATT032723". Lineage: Eukaryota; Metazoa; Chordata; Mammalia; Rodentia; Muridae. The record is from RNAcentral.